This is a long non-coding RNA of Gopherus flavomarginatus (Mexican gopher tortoise), 342 nucleotides long. RefSeq lists it as uncharacterized. The transcript is spliced from 3 exons. The record is from RefSeq and is a predicted model, not a curated record. Lineage: Eukaryota; Metazoa; Chordata; Testudines; Testudinidae.
GUGAAGGCUUUCCUUGCAGGUGCCAGAGGAUAGAGCACUGAUCAGAGAUGCAAGUCCUGCCACUGGCCCACUGUGUAAAACGUGGGAGUCUGAAUUAACUUCCCUCCUCUAAAAUGGCUUCUUCGAGCAACUCCACUGCAGGAAAGUGAGUUAAUCAGGAUGAGUUCUUCAUGGAAUUCCUGCCCAAGAUGACUGCCGAACAUACCUAAGACUGAUCGGGGGAAGAAAGUACUGGACCCAGACUAGAAGGUGUCGAACAUGUGGAAGGAAUACCUGGAGUUCUAAGCUGUAAGCAGGAGCAGUUUGUCUUCAAGAAACUCUACAACCUGCUUAAAACAUCAU